CAGAACGAACGCUGGCGGCAUGGAUUAGGCAUGCAAGUCGAACGAAGUAGCAAUACUUAGUGGCGCAAGGGUGAGGAACGCGUGAGUGACCUACCCGCAAGUUUGGAACAGCUCCUGGAAACGGGAAUUAAUACCGGAUGUGAUCAAUGGACUGCAUGGUUUAUUGAUUAAAGCAGUAAUGCGCUUGCGGAUGGGCUCGCGUCCCAUUAGCUAGUUGGUGAGGUAACGGCCCACCAAGGCCAUGAUGGGUAGCUGGUCUGAGAGGACGACCAGCCACACUGGGACUGAGAACUGCCCAGACUCCUACGGGAGGCUGCAGUCGAGAAUUUUGGGCAAUGGACGAAAGUCUGACCCAGCAAUGCCGCGUGCGGGAUGAAGGUCUUCGGAUUGUAAACCGCUGUUUGGAGGGACGAAAAUUGACGGUACUUCCAGAGAAAGCCACGGCUAACUACGUGCCAGCCGCCGC
RNAcentral lists this ribosomal RNA (466 nucleotides) under uncultured bacterium. RNAcentral describes it as "bacterial SSU rRNA". It matches the Rfam family "Bacterial small subunit ribosomal RNA", at positions 25 to 518 of the family's 1533-position model. The record is from RNAcentral.